CUCUCUCUCUCUCUCUCUCUCUCUCGCAGCAGAAGCGAGAAGCAGCAAUGGGUUCCCUUCUCCUCGCUGACGCUCUCUUCCGUCCAUGUUCCUCCGGUUACCCUACUCUUGCGUCUUUCUUUGCGAAACGACGCGCCGUGGCGUGCCACUGGGGCGAGGAUUCUCUUUGCUCACCGUUGCAUCGGAUCCUGCUUUGCGUCAGAUCUGCCUCAGUCGGAUCCAGGCCCUUGGGGGCAUUGGGUGGGGACGGCGCGCGUUCCUGGCCUCCAAUUGGGCUUCGGUAAUUCAUCAACAGCUGCCGCCGCCAUUGAGCUGAUUGGAUUAGUUCAUACUUUCCUUGUUUGUUUUGGCCGUGUCCUGUAGAUGUUUCCCUCCUCUAAUUCUGAUCUUGUCGAUAAUUGCCUUAGCUCUGACGUGAUUUAGUGAAUUGAUAUAUCUUUUGGAGGAAGUUGUUAAGAUUCCUUUGCAGUUAUUUUUGUUUAUGUACUUUACAUGAAAAGAAAACAUUAAGAUUAUCCGGUAUGUUCUGUGCAGACAAAUCUACGCUUUCAGUUGAUAAAGUGGGGUAGCUGGUUAGAAGGACUCAGUUGACAAUAUUGCGUUGCUUCCGUAUUUAUUUCGUGUUGAGAACUAGCAGUAGAAUAAUUUCAGAGAUGAAAUUUGAAUUAGGGGGAAUACUAUAAUUCAUGACACCAUUGUGGGCUGUCUGCUUAGGGCCCUAAAUGUGGCAUCUUGGUUGUUAGUGUUGAAGAGCGGAAAUCACAUUGAUUAAAAAACCAAGAGUUUGUGCCUUUAGG
Molecule: long non-coding RNA, 797 nt
Filed under: Spirodela polyrhiza (greater duckweed)
Lineage: Eukaryota; Viridiplantae; Streptophyta; Magnoliopsida; Alismatales; Araceae
Description: long non-coding RNA (SPOL_LNC001627)
Source: RNAcentral